CCUACGGGAGGCAGCAGUGAGGAAUAUUGGUCAAUGGGCGGGAGCCUGAACCAGCCAAGUCGCGUGAGGGAAGACGGUCCUAUGGAUUGUAAACCUCUUUAGGCGGGGAGCAAUGCCGGGCAAGCGUGCCAGGAGGGAGAGUACCGGCAGAAUAAGUAUCGGCUAACUCCGUGCCAGCAGCAGGGGUAAUAAGGAGGAUGCGGGCGUUAACCGGAUCUAUUGGGUUUAAAGGGUGCGUAGGCGGAUGUUUAAGUCAGGGGUAAAAUGUCCGGGCUCAACCCGGGCCGGCCGGUGAAACUGGGGAUCUUGAGUAGGCGAGGAGUAUGCGGAAUGCGUGGUGUAGCGGUGAAAUGCAUAG
RNAcentral lists this ribosomal RNA (358 nucleotides) under uncultured bacterium. RNAcentral's name for it is "partial 16S ribosomal RNA". It matches the Rfam family "Bacterial small subunit ribosomal RNA", at positions 338 to 693 of the family's 1533-position model. The record is from RNAcentral.